AAUGCUUCCACAAUCCGACGAAAGUCUUGAUGGAGCAUGCCGCGUGAGCGAAGAAAGUUUUCUUGAUCGAAAAGCUCUGUUGUUAGGGAAGAACACGUACGGGAGUUACUGCCCGUGCCAUGACGGUCCCUUAUUAGAAAGCCACGGCUAACUACGUGCC
RNAcentral lists this ribosomal RNA (160 nucleotides) under bacterium SM4.400-O.42. Its description in RNAcentral is "partial 16S ribosomal RNA". It matches the Rfam family "Bacterial small subunit ribosomal RNA", at positions 359 to 509 of the family's 1533-position model. The record is from RNAcentral.